RNAcentral lists this long non-coding RNA (275 nucleotides) under Nicotiana benthamiana. RNAcentral describes it as "long non-coding RNA (NBEN_LNC008196)". Lineage: Eukaryota; Viridiplantae; Streptophyta; Magnoliopsida; Solanales; Solanaceae. The record is from RNAcentral.
GAUGAGAGAAAAUGCUAUGUUUAUUUAAAUAAUAUUGAUAAUGAAAUACUAAUAAAGCAGUAAAGGACGAAGAGUGACUCUGGUUUUGGCCAGAAAGAGGUAGACGCCAUAAUCACCAGGAAUGGACAGUAACUGGUUCCAGAUUUCAGAUGCGUGACACUGAGUGUGGGCUUGUGUUCCAUGAUAACACAUCAGGAUCAAUAGUUUUACAUGUUCAAAUGAUAGAGAGAAAUUCAUUAGAUAUAACAUUCUAUAAUUACAGUCAUGCAUCAAAU